GUAGGUGGCAAGCGUUGUCCGGAAUUAUUGGGCGUAAAGCGCGCGCAGGCGGUCCUUUAAGUCUGAUGUGAAAGCCCACGGCUCAACCGUGGAGGGUCAUUGGAAACUGGGGGACUUGAGUACAGAAGAGGAAAGCGGAAUUCCAAGUGUAGCGGUGAAAUGCGUAGAGAUUUGGAGGAACACCAGUGGCGAAGGCGGCUUUCUGGUCUGUAACUGACGCUGAGGCGCGAAAGCGUGGGGAGCAAACAGGAUUAGAUACCCUGGUAGUCCACGCCGUAAACGAUGAGUGCUAAGUGUUAGGGGGUUUCCCGCCCCCUUAGUGCUGCAGCUAACGCAUUAAGCACUCCGCCUGGGGAGUACGGCCGCAAGGCUGA
This 374-nucleotide ribosomal RNA is filed under the name uncultured organism. Its description in RNAcentral is "partial 16S ribosomal RNA". It matches the Rfam family "Bacterial small subunit ribosomal RNA", at positions 527 to 897 of the family's 1533-position model. The record is from RNAcentral.